Non-coding RNA from Cenococcum geophilum 1.58, 81 nucleotides. Lineage: Eukaryota; Fungi; Ascomycota; Dothideomycetes; Gloniales; Gloniaceae. The record is from the annotation of a GenBank genome assembly.
GGUACCGUGGCAGAGUGGUUAUUGCGCUAGACUAGAAAUCUAGUCCUCUAGGGGUCGUCCGUUCGAAUCGGGCCGGUAUCG